RNAcentral lists this ribosomal RNA (532 nucleotides) under uncultured bacterium. RNAcentral describes it as "bacterial SSU rRNA". It matches the Rfam family "Bacterial small subunit ribosomal RNA", at positions 976 to 1509 of the family's 1533-position model. The record is from RNAcentral.
UGGGCUCGAAAUGCAGUGGACCGGGUGGAAACAUCCCUUUCCGCAAGGACUGCUGCAUAGGUGCUGCAUGGCUGUCGUCAGCUCGUGUCGUGAGAUGUUGGGUUAAGUCCGCAACGAGCGCAACCCUUAUUGCCAGUUGCUACCGGGGUUAUGCCGAGCACUCUGGCGAAACUGCCCCGGAUAACGGGGAGGAAGGUGGGGAUGACGUCAAGUCCUCAUGGCCUUUAUGUCCAGGGCUACACACGUGCUACAAUGCCCGGUACAAACCGUCGCAAACCCGCAAGGGGGAGCUAAUCGGAAAAAGCCGGGCUCAGUUCGGAUUGCAGUCUGCAACUCGACUGCAUGAAGCUGGAAUCGCUAGUAAUCGCGGAUCAGCACGCCGCGGUGAAUACGUUCCCGGGCCUUGUACACACCGCCCGUCACAUCACGAAAGUGGGUUGUACUAGAAGUCGGUGCGCUAACCGCAAGGGGGCAGCCGCCCAAGGUAUAAUUCAUGAUUGGGGUGAAGUCGUAACAAGGUAAGCGUAGAUGA